UAGGGAAUCUUCCACAAUGGGCGCAAGUCUGAUGGAGCAACGCCGCGUGUGUGAUGAAGGCUUUCGGGUCGUAAAGCACUGUUGUAUGGGAAGAAAUGCUAGAAUAGGGAAUGAUUCUAGUUCGACGGUACCAUACCAGAAAGGGACGGCUAAAUACGUGCCAG
Molecule: ribosomal RNA, 164 nt
Filed under: uncultured bacterium
Lineage: Bacteria
Description: partial 16S ribosomal RNA
Rfam family: Bacterial small subunit ribosomal RNA
Source: RNAcentral